AAAACUGCAAUCCUAAACCUGCAUCAGCACAGAAUUUCUCCUGAGAUAAAUCUUUAAGUCAACCAUGGAACAGAAGGCGAAUGAGUGUCCCACCACCACUUCUCCUCAGAAGCACAUGAAGAACAGGUCCAAAUCCACAGAGGAGAUGCAACAGACAAAGAAGGCCUUUUCCUCACAAAAAUCCCUCCCAGGUAGACCAGAGCUGGACAAAGUGAAGGAGUGUCCUGAUGGCUCUGAUACACCUACAUCCUCCACAGAGGAACUAAAAUGAUAAAAGGAAGGGCCAGCAGGACAUUAGCGUUGCCAUCAAGCUACAAGAUCAUCAAAGACACAACAUGCAUAAAAAUGUACAUAUGUACACAGGGAAACAUACAAAAUAUGAUAGUGAUAAUAGUGAACUAGAUUAUAAAACAUGCAAACAAUCAAUUUGUGAUUUGUUGAAGGAUACUGUAUAAAAAUGUUAAAUUGAACACACACAAGUUAAUGCACACUGAAACAAUCGCAUGUAAACAAAAGGACACCUGUGAUGAUGCUAUUUCAUUGUACUGUGAGUGUCGUAUACAUACCACACUGAAUGUGUAUUGACA
This is a long non-coding RNA of Morone saxatilis (striped sea-bass), 587 nucleotides long. RefSeq lists it as uncharacterized. The transcript has 4 exons. NCBI's taxonomy places the organism in Eukaryota, Metazoa, Chordata, Actinopteri, Moronidae. The record is from RefSeq and is a predicted model, not a curated record.